This 424-nucleotide ribosomal RNA is filed under the name uncultured bacterium. RNAcentral describes it as "partial 16S ribosomal RNA". It matches the Rfam family "Bacterial small subunit ribosomal RNA", at positions 359 to 775 of the family's 1533-position model. The record is from RNAcentral.
GAAUUUUGGACAAUGGGCGGAAGCCUGCUCCCGCCAUGCCGCGUGCAGGAUGAAGCCCUUCGGGUUGUAAACUGCUUUUGUACGGAACGAAACGCUUCGGGUUACUACCCUGGAGUCAUGCCCGUACCGUAUGAAUAAGACCCGGCUAACUACCUUCCCGCAGCCGCGGUAAUACGUAGGGUACAAGCGUAAAUCGGAAGUACUGGGCGUAAGGCAUGCGCAGGCGGUUUUGUAAGGCAGAGGUGAAAUCCACGAGCUCAACCUGGGAACUGCCGUUGAGACUGCAAGGCUAGAGUACGGCAGAGGGGGGUGGAAUUCCGCGUAUAGCAGUGAAGUGCGUAGAUAUACGAAGGAAAGAAAAUGGCGAAGGCAACCCCCUGGGCCUGUACUGACGCUCAUGCACGAAAGCGUGGAAAGCAAACAG